Molecule: long non-coding RNA, 416 nt
Filed under: Paramuricea clavata
Lineage: Eukaryota; Metazoa; Cnidaria; Anthozoa; Malacalcyonacea; Plexauridae
Source: RNAcentral
CAAAAGUUAGAAGAGCUUCACAAUUCCAUCGUGACAGCAUGCCCUAAUUCAGAACUACGAACGAUCCAUGACGAUCCUUCGCGAUGCAGUGGUCUCAUGAAAUAAGGAAACGUAUUCGUGCUAGGAACACACGCGAAUUUCGGACGAAUAAAUUAAAUCUUGCUUGUAUUUUGUAGAUAUAAUAAUACAUUGUUUCAUAAUAAACAAUUUGUCAAGUGUCAUUUAUUUACUGGUAAUAGUGCAUGUUUCAGUCGGGAAAAUCUUAAUUAAUAUUUGAUACGCCGAUUUUUGCAUAUUUCAGACACAUCCAGAAAUAUGCUCCCGAUUUUAAAGAUUAAUAUCUCCGUGAAUUUUUGAGUGAAAUACAACUGUAAUAAUAUAUCAAAAUCUAAGUUAGUCCUUCCUCUAUUUGAUGC